RNAcentral lists this transfer RNA (72 nucleotides) under Pangasianodon hypophthalmus (striped catfish). It matches the Rfam family "tRNA". From Rfam's summary of the family: Transfer RNA (tRNA) molecules are approximately 80 nucleotides in length. Their secondary structure includes four short double-helical elements and three loops (D, anti-codon, and T loops). Further hydrogen bonds mediate the characteristic L-shaped molecular structure. tRNAs have two regions of fundamental functional importance: the anti-codon, which is responsible for specific mRNA codon recognition, and the 3' end, to which the tRNAs corresponding amino acid is attached (by aminoacyl-tRNA synthetases). tRNAs cope with the degeneracy of the genetic code in two manners: having more than one tRNA (with a specific anti-codon) for a particular amino acid; and 'wobble' base-pairing, i.e. permitting non-standard base-pairing at the 3rd anti-codon position. The record is from Rfam by way of RNAcentral. Lineage: Eukaryota; Metazoa; Chordata; Actinopteri; Siluriformes; Pangasiidae.
UCCCUGGACGACUAGUGGUUAGGCCACAGCGCUCUCACCACUGUGGCCCAGGUUCGAUUCCCGGCCAGGGAA